Nicotiana tabacum (common tobacco) is the source of this 974-nucleotide non-coding RNA. Lineage: Eukaryota; Viridiplantae; Streptophyta; Magnoliopsida; Solanales; Solanaceae. The record is from RefSeq and is a predicted model, not a curated record.
UUAAAAAAAUAGGUAUUUUGCAUUUUUAAUGUUUAAGUUAAAUUGUGUGAUUUUCUUUUAAUUCGAUAUUUAGGUAUUUUGCAUUGAACUCUUAUAAGAACUUGAAUUGAAACUGUGUUGAUCAAUUGUUUGGACUACACUUCCGUUAAAAAUGCUUGGGACAUAAUAAUAUUAGUUAAUAAACACUAAGUUAGUGAGAUUGUAAAAAGGGAAAGACAACUAGUAGUGAAGACAACACUUGCUGAUUUUAAGGGUUAAAGAUAGUAUAGUUAAUUGUUCACUAAGGCUUAAAAUAAAAAUAAAAAAAAGAUUUGAAAGCUUAUAAGACACAGAGACCCUUCCUCAAAAAGGGAGGAGCGGCGAUUCCGAUUUUGGCUCUUCUUCCUCAUUUUCUCGUGGGCAUCAGGAGAGAACCAGAAAAAAAAAACAAUCCUCUCUCACUCCUAAGAACGACCAGACCUCUCUCACUCCCUCCCCAUUUUCUUUUUCUCACUCACACACGCAAAGUCAUAACAAAAAUAGUUAAAAUUUCUGAGUUCAAGCUUUACACUCUAGAUUUAAAAAAAAUACAUCUAAAGAAAGAGUAAAAUAAGAGUGGUCUCAAUUUCUGCUGCACUACCUUGUGAUUUCUGAGAUUUUGAGCUAUCUUUUGGGCUUGGAAUUGAAGCCGCUCUUGCUGGGUUUGUUGUGGCUGAACAUUGGCUGGACUAGUAGUUGAUUCUUCAUACCUAGUUUCUCUUUGACCUUUAUUUGGUCGUGGAUUCUCUGUUUGAUUUCAAGUUACUAGAUUUUGAAAGAGAAUAUGGCUUCUUUGGGGCAGCUCCUUCAAGUCAUUUUUCCUUUAAAAAAUGGUGUAUAUUAUACUGAUACAUGGGGUGAAAAUGAUCACUCCUUUAAUUACCUCCCUUGGUCUCUACUCUUGUUUAACUCUUGAAAUUGUUGUCGAAGGCACAAUACUUAAAUAAGUAAAGGUG